This 871-nucleotide non-coding RNA is filed under the name Pan troglodytes (chimpanzee). The record is from RNAcentral. Lineage: Eukaryota; Metazoa; Chordata; Mammalia; Primates; Hominidae.
CCGUACACCAGGGUGUGGGCUGUACACAAGAUCAGGGUCAAAUAACCCAGUUUGGACUAUAAACAAGAAACAAAAAUAUGAGCAGAGGAAAAUAUAUAAGAAGAGAUUUACCUGGGUAGCAGUUAAGUUUCCCAAUCUCCAUCGUACAUAAUAUCGAAUAGGAAUCACAAGUGUGUAGAGGACAUGAAGGAAGGCAAAUCCCAGAGCUACCAAGCCAAGCUGCUUUCGGCAAAGCAUCCAGUGGUCAAGCCAGUCUGGGAAUCGACGGUAUUUUGUGCCUCGGUACAGUUGUAGAAUGGCAGCAAUAACACCAGGAAGGUAAACCAAAGCAAGCAGUUGCUCCUGACUGGAGAGCCCAGGCUGAGAUGGUGUUAAAUGCUUUUACCACGUGGGCUCCUGGCACCAAAUGAGCAAGAUCUCACCCCACAGGCCUUGGAAACCUGAGGCAGUAUUCUUCUGGGAUGUUUCCAACUAGGCUUCCCAUGAGGAUGUUAGAGCCAGCCUGGCUGGUGAAUUUUACUUCUCUCACCUCUCAGAGGGACAUGGAUGAAAUUGGAAAUCAUCAUUCUCAGUAAACUAUCGCAAGAACAAAAAACCAAACACCGCAUAUUCUCACUCAUAGGUGGGAAUUGAACAAUGAGAACACAUGGACACAGGAAGGGGAACAUCACACUCUGGGGGCUGUUGUGGGAUGGGGGGAGGGGUGAGGGAUAGCAUUGGGAGAUAUACCUAAUGCUAGAUGACGAGUUAGUGGGUGCAGCGCACCAGCAUGGCACAUGUAUACAUAUGUAACUAACCUGCACAUUGUGCACAUGUACCCUAAAACUUAAAGUAUAAUAAUAAAAAAAAAAUCUGUGAAGAACAGAGACAG